AGAGUUUGAUCCUGGCUCAGAAUCAACGCUGGCGGCGUGCCUAACACAUGCAAGUCGAACGAGAAAGUGGAGCAAUCCAUGAGUACAGUGGCGACCGGGUGAGUAACACGUGACCAACCUGCCCUUCGCAUCGUAGUACGAGUCGAUAUACAGCAAUGGCGGCUUGCCUAUCGCAUGCAAGUCGGACGUAUAUGAAUAGUCGGAGCAAUCCAGUGAGUGACUACGAUGCGUCAGUAUCAACGCGCCGUAGAGGUAUCACAAUCUCUGUGACCGAUCUGCUCAUCUCGAGUAUGCGCCGAAUACGACUCCGGGAGAUCCUCGCGACGCUAUAUACCGCAUGUGAGGGUGCGCAAGAUCAGUGUGUUAUCGCAAGGCAGCUUUAGGACUGGGGAGUUACAGCAGUGGCUGGCUGUGAGGCUGGUUUCUGGUUGGGUUAGGACGUGCCUGGACCAAGAUUCUCGAGGCUACGGUAGCCGGCCUGAGAGGGCGCACUGCCAGACUGUGAAAGCUGAAAGGCGGUCUAGAGUUCUCACGAGCGAGGCAGUACGCGGGGAAUUCUUGCGCAAAUGUAGCGGGUGAAACCCCUGCACGAUAGCUAUUCAGGCGGAACACCUAGGGUCGGCUAUCGAAGUGCGUCUACUCUGGACAGACACUGACUCUGAGGCACGAACGCUUAGGGGAGCAAACAGGAUUAGAUACCCUGGUAGUCCUAGCCCUAAACGAUGGAUACUUGGUGUGACCGGGAUUGAAUCCGGUCGUGCCGAAGCUAACGCAUUAAGUAUCCCGCCUGGGGAGUACGGCCGCAAGGCUGAAACUCAAAGGAAUUGACGGGGGCCCGCACAAGCGGUGGAGUAUGUGGUUUAAUUCGACGCAACGCGAAGAACCUUACCUGGGCUCGAACGGCUAGUGACAGGUGGCGAAAGUCGCUUUUCCCGCAAGGGACACUAGUCGAGGUGCUGCAUGGCUGUCGUCAGCUCGUGUCGUGAGAUGUUGGGUUAAGUCCCGCAACGAGCGCAACCC
Molecule: ribosomal RNA, 1020 nt
Filed under: uncultured bacterium
Lineage: Bacteria
Description: bacterial SSU rRNA
Rfam family: Bacterial small subunit ribosomal RNA
Source: RNAcentral